This 253-nucleotide ribosomal RNA is filed under the name uncultured bacterium. RNAcentral describes it as "partial 16S ribosomal RNA". It matches the Rfam family "Bacterial small subunit ribosomal RNA", at positions 524 to 776 of the family's 1533-position model. The record is from RNAcentral.
UACGAGGGGAGCUAGCGUUGUUCGGAAUUACUGGGCGUAAAGCGCGCGUAGGCGGCUUUGUAAGUUAGAGGUGAAAGCCCGGAGCUCAACUCCGGAACUGCCUUUAAGACUGCAUCGCUUGAAUCCGGGAGAGGUGAGUGGAAUUCCGAGUGUAGAGGUGAAAUUCGUAGAUAUUCGGAAGAACACCAGUGGCGAAGGCGGCUCACUGGACCGGCAUUGACGCUCAUGCACGACAGCGUGGGGAUCAAACAGG